Molecule: ribosomal RNA, 253 nt
Filed under: uncultured bacterium
Lineage: Bacteria
Description: partial 16S ribosomal RNA
Rfam family: Bacterial small subunit ribosomal RNA
Source: RNAcentral
UACGGGGGGGGCAAGCGUUGUUCGGAAUUACUGGGCGUAAAGGGCUCGUAGGCGGCCAACUAAGUCAGACGUGAAAUCCCUCGGCUUAACCGGGGAACUGCGUCUGAUACUGGAUGGCUUGAGUUCGGGAGAGGGAUGCGGAAUUCCAGGUGUAGCGGUGAAAUGCGUAGAUAUCUGGAGGAACACCGGUGGCGAAGGCGGCAUCCUGGACCGGCACUGACGCUGAGGAGCGAAAGCCAGGGGAGCAAACAGG